AAGCGUUAUCCGGAAUUAUUGGGCGUAAAGCGUCCGCAGGCGGCCCUUCAAGUCUGCUGUUAAAAAGUGGAGCUUAACUCCAUCAUGGGCAGUGGAAACUGUUGGGCUUGAGUGUGGUAGGGGCAGAGGGAAUUCCCGGUGUAGCGGUGAAAUGCGUAGAUAUCGGGAAGAACACCAGUGGCGAAGGCGCUCUGCUGGGCCAUCACUGACGCUCAUGGACGAAAGCCAGGGGAGCGAAAGGGAUUAGAUACCCCUGUAGUCCUGGCCGUAAACGAUGAACACUAGGUGUCGGGGGAAUCGACCCCCUCGGUGUCGUAGCCAACGCGUUAAGUGUUCCGCCUGGGGAGUACGCACGCAAGUGUGAAACUCAAAGGAAUUGACGGGGGCCCGCACAAGCGGUGGAGUAUGUGGUUUAAUUCGAAGCAACGCGCAGAACCUUACCAACCCUUGACAUCCUCGGACCGCCAGAGAGAUUUGGCUUUCACUUCGGUGACCGAGUGACAGGUGCUGCAUGGCU
Molecule: ribosomal RNA, 517 nt
Filed under: uncultured Prochlorococcus sp.
Lineage: Bacteria; Bacillati; Cyanobacteriota; Cyanophyceae; Synechococcales; Prochlorococcaceae
Description: bacterial SSU rRNA
Rfam family: Bacterial small subunit ribosomal RNA
Source: RNAcentral